RNAcentral lists this ribosomal RNA (677 nucleotides) under uncultured bacterium. RNAcentral describes it as "bacterial SSU rRNA". It matches the Rfam family "Bacterial small subunit ribosomal RNA", at positions 366 to 1063 of the family's 1533-position model. The record is from RNAcentral.
UCGCAUGGGCGAAAGCUGACGUUACACGCCGCGUGCGGGAUGAACGCCUUCGGUCUGUAAACCGCUUUCAGCAGGAACGAAAAUACGGUACCUGCAGAAGAAGGAGCGGCCAACUACGUGCCAGCAGCCGCGGUGACACGUAGGCUCCAAGCGUUGUCCGGAUUUAUUGGGCGUAAAGAGCUCGUAGGCGGUUGAGUAAGUCGGGUGUGAAAACUCUGGGCUUAACCCGGAGACGCCAUCCGAUACUGCUCUGACUUGAGUUCAGGAGGGGAGUGGGGAAUUCCUAGUGUAGCGGUGAAAUGCGCAGAUAUUAGGAGGAACACCGGUGGCGAAGGCGCCACUCUGGACUGAAACUGACGCUGAGGAGCGAAAGCAUGGGUAGCAAACAGGAUUAGAUACCCUGGUAGUCCAUGCCGUAAACGGUGGGCACUAGGUGUGGGUUCCAACUAACGGGAUCCGCGCCGUCGCUAACGCAUUAAGUGCCCCGCCUGGGGAGUACGGUCGCAAGACUAAAACUCAAAGGAAUUGACGGGGGCCCGCACAAGCAGCGGAGCGUGUUGCUUAAUUCGAUGCUACGCGAAGAACCUUACCUGGGUUUGACAUGUCUGGAAAAGCCACAGAGAUGUGGUGUCCGCAAGGGGCCAUACACAGGUGGUGCAUGGCUGUCGUCAGCUCCU